Molecule: non-coding RNA, 1147 nt
Organism: Phoenix dactylifera (date palm)
Lineage: Eukaryota; Viridiplantae; Streptophyta; Magnoliopsida; Arecales; Arecaceae
Source: RefSeq, a predicted model, not a curated record
UUGACCAUAUUUCAUCCUUUUUGCAGAGAUUUGCUCCUCCGGUUGAUGAUACUUCAUCUACUCGUAGAGAUGAUGAUGCCGACCCUUGAUACAUAUCUUGCCGAAACUUCCUUUUGUAAAGAUGUACUAGGGCCUAACAUCUUUUGUUGGUUAUGCCCUGUAUCAAAGUUCAAAGGCUCUGGUCUCCGAUUUCCCACUGCAUUUGACCUUCCAAUAUCUACAACACUAACUUGACGUAUCAGGUGGCAAAGAUAAGAGUAAUUUGUCUAUAGAAGAUGGAAACCAUGUAAAUUUUUGUGGUUGAGCCUCGCUUGGGAGUGGCUGAUUGUAACAAUCUUUUCCCAUUGCAAAGACUGCAACGCUGAUGAGCGUUAUUAAUAGGAACUGGCAAUUGACAGGUUACUGGUUUGACCGGGGGAAAAUACAUGGUAGAUUGUGUACUUAGGAAUUUGACUUGUAUGUUUUUAGAAUGUUUUUGAAGUACAAUGUAAUCAAAUAUUAUAAUAUGAAUGUAAUCAAAGUUCUUGUUUGUGACGUGUAUUUUGUUAUAUAUGUGAUUUAGUGUAUUUGUUUUGUUAGAAUUUAAUGUGUACAGGGUAUUAAAAAUUACUUUUAUAUAUUUUUUUUAAAAAAAAAUUCAUUUGCCGACGCUUUUAAGCGUCGGCAAAAGCAAGUUUGCCGACGCUUAUAAGCGUCGGCUAACGCCAAACCUUAGCCGACGCUUUUAAGCGUCGCAAAAAGCGCGGCACAACACUUGGAAAACUGGGAAGUUGGCACGCCUUUGAAGUUUGCCGACGCUUAUAAGCGUCGGCUUACGGCAAACCUACGCCGACGCUUUUAAGCGUCGGAAAAAGCGCGGCACAACACUGGGAAAACUGGCACGCCUUUGAAGUUUGCCGACGCUUGGAAGCGUCGUCUAACGCCAUAGCUAACGACGCUUAAACGCGUCGGCAUAGGCCACCUUCGCCGACGCUUAAAAGCGUCGGAAUAGACCGCCGACGCUUUCUUCACGCGUCGGCCUAAACCGGCCCCACGCCCACCUGCCCGACGUCGGAGCCACGCUUUGGGGAGGGUGGGUGAGAACUUCGCCGACGCUUAAAAGCGUCGGUAUAGACCAAAUAUAGCGUCGGGAGAUAUCAGUUAUUUU